GUAGAGAAUUGAAGGGCCCUUAUUCUAUCAGAAUGUGUUGCUGGGGAGUAGGGGUGAGACCUAGAAGAUAUGCCCUGGGGAUCAAAAUAGCAGGAAGCCUACCCUGGUAUAAAACCAUUCUUCUGAAUGGUCUGUCUUCAUUUCUUUUACGUGCUUUUUAUGAAUGCAGACUCUUGAUGGGUCAAGUCUUUUGACGUCUCCAGCUGUAUGCUUUUGAGCCUGGCCAGACUUGUAAGACACCAUCAACGUAACCAACUUUUAGUGUUUUACUCACUUGUGAUUUUGAAUCUGGUUAAUGAUGCCAAAAGGGGUUCAAGAAUCCGGGCUCCUGCAGGAGGGAUGCUGUUGAAGAACAUUGCGUUUUUGCAGUGGUUUAAAGCAGGCUGUCACACUUUCAUAUAGGGAUUGGGUGUACUCCAGUGUUACAGCACUUGAAAUAAAGUUAAAUAUAGGCUCAACGAUGGCCCAGCCUGUGUCAGCUCUGUUUUACCUCCAGAAAAUUGCAACUGACAAUUAUCAAAGUAUUAUCAGCACUGAUGAAUGGCUGGAAAACUGUAGUACCAAUGGUAACUCAGGCUUUGCAAUUUUUGUCUUCAAAUAACAUAACUUGCAUGAAAAAUUGAGUUUAAAAUUAAAUUGCAUAGGAAGGAAACUAUAGCUAAGCUUUUUCUUAGGAACAAGUGUAAAAUAUAAGCCUUGGACUAAAAGGAUAUGACGAGUAUUCGAGUGGCUUUGUUUUGCAGUGGAAAAAACCUCUACCUUCUUUGGAAGGGGCACAGGGAAAAUGAGCUGCAUCAGGUUUCACUUAAUGUACAGAAAAGUCAGCACUUCUGUGCUGUGUUUUCCUUUGCUUCUAUUACAUUAGAACUAGAAAAGUUAGUUUAUCUAAGCUAAUAAGCACGUUGAAUUCAGUUGCUUCCAGUAAACUUGUGCAUCAGGAAGGGUAACUCGUAGCAUUUUGUGGCAGCACUGGUGGUGAGUUAAUUGCUUAAAGUAGAAUUUCCUCUUCCUAAUGUCCCAACAAGAGUGACGCUGUGAUGGGUGGCUGUUAGUGAGGCAGCAGGGUGGAGAAACCAGUGGGACAAUCACUUGGGAAAUGGUGGCAAGAGAAGCAAAGCCAUUGCAGAGCAGGAGCGCAUAGAAGGAGCCUGCGUGGACACUGAGCUGAAUGGAUGCAGCCUAGCUCAGCCCUUCGUGGAGAAACAGAAGAAUUUGGAACUCUUAAACUGGGAUAAGCCCAAGAAUCUUAAUUUGGAACUCAAGUCAGAAGGAAUAGAAAAUGUGAAUGUGUGCACAGCUCCAGUAUUUUUUGAUACAAUUGUCAUUAACAGGGUAUUAGGAAGGGAAGGGGGCUGAAGGCACGCUAGUGGUUGUGGAGGCAAUACACAUAGGUUCACAUGGUUGGCUAAAAGCAUCCUUAAGGCUCAGCUUCUCCCACGUGCAUGAAGCCAGCUGCCCUGCAGGGGUGACAGCACUUGUGCUUGGGAGCUGCUGCCGAGCAGUGUUCUCCAAGGGUGGGCAUGGGGCUUUAGCUCUGCUGUGUUACACACCUGCUGCAAAAGCUGUCCUGGUGGUUGGACUGAAGAAAAUCAGAAAGGGAUGUGGAAGCUGGUAACUGAUGUGCCCUUACGAGGAGGUUAUAUUUACCAUUCAGUAGCUCUGGGAAAGGUUUUACACUGCUCCCCUAUCUCUGCUCAGUAGCACUGGUGAUCUGAAGGUCUGUCUGUGUGCCUAGUUCUGAUUCCUUACCACAGUGGCUUGUUUUCACAACAGCUGCCAUUUGAGCAGCAUUUGCAAAUCCUCUCAUUCAUGUUUGUGUAACUGAAAUAUGCUGCUUCUUAGGGAGGCAGCAGUCAGCAGCCCAUGGAGUUGCUGUGCGAGUCACGCUGCUUCUUGGCUGUAGCAUCUGCUGGGGCUGCACUGUGCAAUUACAACUGCAUCAGAGUGGGAUUGUGCCGAAGGAGGAGGCUCUUCUGGUGCUGGGAGUCCCUGUUCUGAGCUAGCAGCUCCUUGCCCAGCCUGCUGUGACUGCCCACUGCUUCCCUUCCCUGCUCUGCCUCCCAUUGCUCGGUACCAAUGGUGGUGGUGUUUCUGCUUGGUCUAUUCUGGGCUUCUAGAAGAGCUGCCAUCUGUCCCUGUCCCAUUUUAAAUAUUAACUUCACGAGGCUCUUGAACCUACUUUGAUUGCAGAGUGCUUUGAUUUGGAUGGGAGUUGUCAGGAGACCAGAGGGUGGCUGCUGUGCUCAGGAACCUGUAAUGCACUGUGUCUCCUUCAUGUUUGAAGCACUGAUGCUGCAUACAGCAGCCCUGCAUGUUAACAUCUGUUCAGACGAGAAUCUGUAUCAGCCAAAAAGCUGUUCUGCAUUCUUGCUUCGUAACCCCACAACCUUGUGCAGUGGUGCCAACAGCUCACUGACUGCAUCGUGCAAGCACAGGUGUUAACGCAGCUGCAGUGCUGGGACAGAUGGGGUAUGGUUGGUAGGAGCUCUCUGUGAGGCUUCAGUCAAAUUGCAUGUGUUGCUACUGUAGUGGAAGCUGCGUGGCUGCUCUGUGCUGUGCAUGUAGGCACUUGCCUUGUAGAAUCAUUAAAAUCAUUAAGGUUGGAAAAGACGUACUAAGAUCACCAAGUUCAACUACUGACCCACGCCCACAGCGCCACAUCUCCAUGGUUUUGGAACACCUCCAAGGACGGUGACUCCCCCACCUCCCUGGGCAGCCUGUUCCAAACAGCAAAAUGUGGCUUUGUUCUGUUUUCAGUUGCUCCUUUCUAUGAGCACGCUUUGAGUGACGUAGGCAGGCCGAAUCUGAGUGUGAAGCUAGCCCAGUGACUCGAGAUAAUGUGUUGUGGAGGUGUGACAGCAGCAAGCACUGGUGGCAGGAGGAAAACUGGUGGAGUUCAGCUUCAAGGAGCCAAGAAGUGCAAGAGUCAGCCAGCACAGCUGGGUGGAGGACUGCACAGCUGGAUGGAGAGGAGUCAGCUCUACUGCAGCUUUCAGGAUGGGCAGUCUGAGGCGUGAUCAGCACAGCACUGCAGUGCUGCCCAUUUCCCCAAUAAUCGUGGUGAGGAAAGAGACGACUUCCUCUGACCAUUAGCAGCUGGGGAAACUGCCUUCACCUGCAUACAGCACACACAUUACCGUUGCAUAAUGCAGACACUGAGAAAGGUUCCUCAGCUUGCAGUGUGUUGGCAUUUCAUAAACCCUGGGAAGAGCAGCAGUUCUCAUCUCGUAGGAACUGAAUGUGCUUCCUGACUAAGGACUGAACAGACUGGUAGCUGCGGCAAACGUGCAAGUACUAUGGGGAGCUUCAGCUAAAUUCUCACUAUUUAGGUUUAGCAUGUUCUUCAGUUAGCCUGUGUGUAUCUUAGCCCCAAAGAGGUUUUUGUAAAUCCAGAUCAUUUACCUCUUGGUAUUUGUAUCCGGGAAAUCGAUCUCGCUAAACUGCUUGGAAACUGGGGAAAAUAACCUGUGUGGAGUUCAAAGUUAGCUUUAAUGUUAAUUGCAUUUGUGUCUCAUGUUAACCACAAAUUACAGAUGCCUGCAAGUCUCUUUGAAAUGAUGUGUAGUAGUAGAGCCUUUUUACUCUUUGUUUCUAAGCAGCAGUAAAGGAAACAACCAAGGCACACUAUAAGAAUCUUCUACAAUUUGAAAUGUUAAAGUCAGUUUGUAAGUUUCAGUCCCUACAGUACUUUGUUAAAAGCACAACAACCUGAUGCAGCCUUCUACUUUAAAGCCUGUAACUAACAUUCUUUUUCUUAACCCUUCAGCUAGCAGUGGCAGAGAUGAGCGACUUCUUACUUUGUUCAUCAUUCUGAAAUGUGCAUCUGCUGUUUUUUAUUCUAGCUUUUACAAAACUGAUCACAGUAAAUGGCCAAGAAUAUCACCUUCAGCUGGUUGACACUGCUGGCCAGGUAAGUGCCUUUCUCCCUUUGCAUCUUUGGAGUUAAUGCAACAGGUAUUGGUGCUUGGGAAGAGCUACCCUGGUUGUGUCCAUGUGUUCAAAGCUGAAGCUCAACUUAAAUGAUUCCACUUUAUUUUGUUCUCUGAAAGUAAUGCUUGUAUAGUGUUUAUGCACUUUUUCUAUUGAAAUUGAAACAGUAGCUAGUGCUUAAAGUACAUAUGCCUAAAAAAGCCAAGAAAGAGCUGCCUGAACUCCAGUGUACCAAAGCUCUUAAGUAAUCCGCUUGAUACUUAUGGUCCGGUAGUCUUCUUUAAUUGGAAAAUGCCAAUUCAGUAAACCACACAGAAGUUUUUCUUGACUUUCUUCAGUCUGUGUGCUCCAGCACCUUGGUUUGUAUCCAUUAAAUAGUCAGAAUAGAAAGCAACAUGCAUAGGUAGCGCUCAUGAGGCUGCAAAGAAACUCCUGCAGUUUGUUUAUGUAACUAAGUAAGUGAAGGUUCAUGCAUGCAUACUUCUGAGCUUGGUGUAAUGAGGGGGAAUGCAGAAGGAGAUGGUAAACAAAUGUCUGUGGCGUGGUCAGUAGCGUCAUGAAAUAGAGGUGCUAAUUACACAGGGAUGCUUGGCAAAGCCUGGAGGUGAGUGUGUGCUCUGUGCUUUGAAGGGCUGUGCUUAAAAAAGGGACUGCUAAAUCCCUUACCAUCUUCCUGUUUGCAUGCUCUUACUUUCUGUGAGUUCUGGUAUUGUGCCUUUGGGUUUUCCCAAACUGUUAGCAUUAAGCAGCCAGUAAAGUACACGGGCAGUGCUUUAGACAUGAAAGCUGCAGGACAUUUGCUCAUAGCUGGGAGAGUAUUCAGGGCUGUGACCUUCUAGGACUAUUUGAUCACCUUCAAAGAGAGCUACAUGAUGUAAGAAUAACUGUGUGCUGUAAUUAUAUGCUGUCAGCUUGUGGUGGUAAUCAGCAGCACUAGAUCUACAGGUAAUCAGUCGGAGGGUUUAGUAACAGCAUUGACCACACAUACUGGGGUCAUAAACACGUUGUUUGGGAAAUUUAAACUAAAUAGAAUUGCACAGCUAGUAUUUUUCCCAGUCUGUGGUUAUUUCCAGCCUCGAUUCUUCCUGUGAAUGAGUUGAACUUUGAGUUGUGGCUCACAGGGCUAGAGGGAGAGAUAAUGCUGGGUUAUGGAAGGUGUGGUUUGAACAAAUUUCUCACAGUUCAGUCUUGCUUAAUGAUCCAUAGAGCAUCCUUACGUAUGCAGUAUAGCAAAGAUUAUAUUGCAGAUUUAUGUCAUAUACUUGAAAACUUGGCUAUAGCUUGAAAAGUUACAGCUCUGCUCGUUUUGUCACUUGGCAAAGUUCUUAAUUUGAUCCCCAACUUCCAGGAAGAGUUGUGGUCUUUUAUUUUUUUCCUUUCCUGACAAGCUAAAGAAAUAGUUUUCUUGGUACCUAUUUUCUGUCUCGUGCCUCUUUACCUCUCACAGUUACGUGUUCAGGUUUACAUAGCUGUGUUGAGCAGGAGGCUCACUAUGGGACCUCAGAACAGGAUGUAGCAACAAAUCUUUUCUGAACCUGAAUUCGAACUGUGGCAAUCCUGAGUAAUUGCAGAUAAAGGCAAAGAACUGUGGGGCUGCACUUUCACCUGUUUUACUUGCAGGCCAGCUCACAUCUCUCUGUGUUGACACUGGGAUUACACAGCCCGCGGAGAGGGCAGCGUGGCAUUUAAGCGGAGGUGGGGGAGGGCUGCCCUCAGUGUGUAGCAUUAAAGGCAAAUAAGGGCAUCAUGUGCAAGUGUUGUUCCUUCAAACUUUUUUGGCAGAAUCUGGGAAGUUGAUUUAUAAAAGGUUGUGGGGUUUUUUUUGGCAUUUGCCUAUUAAGGAAGUUUGCUUUCUGUUAGCUGUCUCGAUUUAAGCUGCAUGAUUGCACCGCUCCAUCUGUUCAGUCAUGACAAUAUACAGGGAGGUUAUGUAUCUUCAGCUAAAAUUAACAUCCUAAGAAACACAAGCUUAAAAAAUGGAGAGCUCGUACAGUAAGAUGUAUGGCUCUUGUCAAAAUGCAAAUGUUACCUGGGAACUUCUAUUAGAAUGCUUCUAUUUUAGUGUUUAACGUGAAAUUCUUCGUCUUAGUGUUGUGUUGUCUGCAUUCUGUCAAUCUGCCUCAGUUACUGAGUUGUUCAUUUGCAUUUUUACAGGUGUUGUAAACGUAGAGAUUUAUUGUCUAGGUUUGGUUUCUUAUGUUGGUUGGUGCUGAUGGUGGUAUUGCUUUGGUUUUUUAUUUUUUAUUGAAGAAUUGCCAUAUAAUGGCAACUUCUAGUUGCUGUGAAGCAACCAAUGGCUACAGUUCUUAGAUCUGUGAUGAGCAUUAGUUAGUUCGGUAUGCCACAGCUGCCUAACAGGCCCCAUAGGUAAGUUAGCUGUGGUCAGUGCCCCUUGAAGUGUGGAACUGCUAGAUCCUGUCUGCAGCUGCUGAAAUUUGGGAUUUGAUGGGAACGUAUCACUAGCAAGGUAAGAGGCAUAACUGCUAAUUAGUGGUAGGAGACAGAGUGGAUGUUUUGUACUAGGGUAAACUGAUAACUGAGCAGUGUAAGAGGAUCGGGGAUAGCUUUAGCUGAUCCGUAGUCUUAGAGGGAAUAAAGUAAAAAAGCUGUAGAUUAAAUUGUAGAGUAUGCAGACUAACAGGCUAACUAAGCUGGUGCCCCAAGCUCGCUUUGCUUUCUCUUAGUUGGGUAAAGAUUCCACACCUGGCAUUAUGAUGAAGAAACCUAAUUCUCAGAAUUACACAAAAAUGUUCUACAAAUGUGACUAUUGGCUGUGAAUGAUCUGCUAGCAUCAAGCUCUCAGCGUUGGCAAUAAGUAAUUGAAUUGCAAUAUUCCUUCUACAGGAUGAAUACUCCAUAUUUCCUCAGACAUACUCCAUAGACAUCAAUGGCUACAUUCUUGUUUAUUCAGUCACGUCAAUAAAAAGGUAACAAAGUCUGCUGUGUUCUCCUGCUUCACAUGUUAGCCACAUGCAUAUCAGCUCAGCUCCUGCCUCUGCUUUAUUUUUCUUUACGUAUGUGUAAUUCCUUCAGUCCCUUUGCCUUAGAAAUGUAACUGAAAUACAAAAGAAUGGCUUUUCAGAAUUUUCCCCUCAGAUCCAAAUGUCACAGGCACUUUGCAGACCAAAGCAGGAGGUACUGUGUGAGAAAUGGGGCAGUGCUGAGCUCCAGUGAUUGAGUGUAAGUGAAAGCACAUAGACUGGUCCCAGGAACAAACAGGCUUUGUGCUGUAGCGUAAGAGGUGACGAUGGAGUUCAGCAUGAACCACAAGAGCACUGCACGUUUAUGUGGACAACCAAGCUAGGUGUUCAUCUGUCCCUCAGCCUAGCAGCUUCUUGCAGUACUGAGAUUCCUUUGGCUUCCCAUCCUGACUCGUUCUGGUUAACCAUCAAAAACUUUGACAUAAGCAACAAUAUGAGACUCCUGGCCUGUAGGCUCACGCUUGCUAUGCUGCAGCAGAUCUCUUCUUUGAGGUUUCCCAGAGUUUCUGUCUUGUCCUCACUGCUAACUGUAGUCAAUCCUCACUUGAGGACAGGCUCUGUCAUAGCUGGAGAAGCACUUGGAAGUGUCUUAACCUUCUUUAAGGUAUUGUCAUCUUCUGUUAUUUUAUCCUUUCCCUUUGGUCUACUUGAUGUAAGUAUAGGUCAACCUUGAAUCACUCUUAGUUUCCUAAUACUGUACAGCAUCUUCGGCCAAAAUAAUCCUCAGUUUUAUAUUUCCAUUUGUUGAAAGUGAUGUUAAGACCUGAAGCCUUUCACUUCAGAUAGAAGAAAAGCACUGCUUCCCUUGUACUUGUAAGCUGAUCAGCUUUUGAUGAGCACUGAAGCAUUCCAUGUCUUCUCCUCUAAAACAGGAUGAAGUCGUCUUGAGUGUCCUUUAGUAAGAUCUUCAUAAACUGCAGGUGAAACAGCUCUCUUGUUGGUUCUUCUGUGCUUCUCAGAAAAUGGAUGUGGUCUGGUCAUCAACUUCAGCUGCUUUUAAGUUCUUUAAUGUUGAGCACAUUUUCAGUUCUUCAUUCUUGGAGUUCUCCAUUCUUGAUUUUCAUCUGUAGUUUCGAAGUAGUGAACAGAAAGCACGUGUGUUUGGGGGAAAUGCAGCAGGUGUGAGGCUUUCCUGUGUAUCUUAAGAAACUACCUUUUUUUCCUUCUUUUUUUUCUCACUCCCUUAAUCAGAGAUCUGUUGUUGGUGCUGAGUGACCUGUAUAAAGUUGGAGUAGUAUUCCCAGUCCUAAGAAGAAAUCCACAUUGUUCAGUAUUUGAUUCUUGAUCAACUCAAUCCCAAUUCUUGCUUUUUUUCUUGGAAAUUUCAAAGUAUUGAUGAUCCUUUCUUGUUCAAUUUCUUAUUUAAGUUCAGUAUCAAGAUGGUGUUUAGGCAACAGAAAAGAUCUUCCACUGUACUCUGGUAGCUUAGAUGUCUCUCCCAGGCAAUCAGAUUAGUCACUGUCUGUCUCAGUUUCUGUCAAAGUGUGUGUAUUGAUGGGAGUAUUGAUGCAGCUGAGUGGGAGCUUUGACAUCAAACUAAAUAGAAAUGUCCUCUUGAAAUUAUUUUCUUCCCUGCUGAUCUCCACUGGGAAGUUUAUAAUGGGGCUCGAGUGAAAGCUGAUGCCCUGCAUUUGUUAUAUUCCCAGACUCUCAGCUGCAAGGUUACUGGAAGGCUUUUGCUCUAGUUCAGCUUAAUUAAAUUCCAAAUUUGUCUCGUGCUGUGUUCUGUGAUCCUCUAUAUCACAGCUAGUGAUCCUUCAGGUUGUAUUUCACUCUGUUUUCCUGUAACCCUGUUUGCUUAACAGAACUGGAAAGGACCUCUUAUGGUCUGCAGACCUAUCGCUGUUUCACAACUUGGUGUGGUGUUGGUUUUUCUGGGGGGUGGAGGGGGGCUUGUUGAUAAGGGUUUUAAUUUGUGCCUUUGCUCCUUGUAGCCAUGUGUUUGAGAAUGCUUUCCAAAUUAAUUAAAUUGAUCCGGUCAGUCGAGGUUCAUUCUGGGUAGUUCUUACCAACUUGUUUCUGUGCCAGAAUCAUGUUGGAAUUUAAAUAGCACUUCCCUUUCGGUUUUCACCUUGAUCUAUUAAUAAAGAUCAGCUGUUAAUCCUUGGUCUAUUUUGCUAAAAAUUGAGCUCUAGAUGAGCAGAAACUGAGAACUGAGCAGCACAAGGUGGAACCACAGGUGAGGGCAUGCACUGAGCUGUGCAGUGGCACAGUGUUUUUCUGGCUACACUGGCAGCAGCUUACCUACCUAGUAGUAGAAAGUGAUUACAUUGGUGACUCGGCCAUCCUGUGGCUAGUAUGCUACAUCUCUCCUCUUGCUUCAGGCUGAGAAACAGUUCUGUGGUCUGUAUCAGAAUUAUUUUGAAUGAUUUCUCCUUCAGUUUUCAGGGUCAUCUGAUUCUCUCUGUCACAGCUGAACACCGUUUAACUCUUACUUCUGAGAUACCCUGCUGAAAGUCCAAGACCAGUUCUCAAGCCCAAAAUUUUGCUUAUACCUUUUCAGCAUAAGCUCUUCAUAAUCCUUAAUUCCUUCCAUUGAUUCCACGUUUAUGUAGUCUGUAGUAUAGUGUUUGAGUCAGUAACAGCAAGGUGUGCUGGACUGAGUUACUUCUUUUUGUACACAAUUCAUUUCUGAACAGGAUAUCUCCUAGCUCACCAUGGAAGUGUUGAGUUCUGCUCAGUCUGUAAAACUGUUGCUGAAGUAAUGCAAACAGACCUGCUUGACACACAAUCCUGAACUGAGGUAGCGUUUACUGUUCAGAACUGAGAAGCUUUAAGGAGUCCCAACAGCCUGAGUAGUGCUUCUGGGCACCGGUUCUUUGAGAAUCCAGAGCUUGGAUGUACACUGGAGUGCUGCCCUAUUUGUAAGAGCUUCAAUUCUAAUUUAAGCACAGUGCAAAAUGAAGAUGCUGCCCCUUUCUUCUUGUGUAGCUGCGUGUCAGGUGUGUGAACCAAGCCUGCACCUUUCUUAAAGCUCAGGUGUGCACUUCAUGCACCAGCAUCUUUUUUCCACAGUGUAAUCAGAAGAGCACAACAUCUGCUCUUUCACUCUGUUGAUAGCCUGUUCUCAAGUGUUAAAUGUCAGACAUGGGACUUCGGGCCUCACAGUGUUGUGCAGUGCUGUUUCUUAUCUCCAGUCAUGCAAACAUCAUGUGGGCAGCAGGUGAGCUGUUAGGUGCCUCAACAACCACUGCUUUGCUGUUGUCUUGCCCAUCAGGUUCCUCACUAUCCAUAAGAUAUUGGAAUUCAGCCUUCUCUUGGUUUUCACAGAAUGCCAAAACAACAUUCAAAGACUUCUAUGAGAGUUAAGGUUUAUUUAAAGUUAUGUAUUCUUCUCGGUGGGUUGUGCUGAACUGAAUGCUGUUCCUUUGAAACUCUGCUUUAGUUUGACAUGCUCAUCCAGGCGUGUCGGACUGUAGUAGCCGAAUUUCUUACUGUGAAUGCAGACCAGAUUGGAGGGGGCAUGGGGGCUUUUAGCACUGUGUGUUAGAUGCACCUGUCCUGGGUAACGUUUAUUUCUGCAAGUAUCAGAACUGGGUGGGCUGUAACGAUGUGCAAAGUACAGUUUGCUGCUGCCUCUGGGACCAUUUUGUCUGUUGUACACAAACCAGUAACACUUCAGCAUCUUUGUAGUUCUGCCACUGUACGUAAUUUUUAACACAGCAAUCUACAUAUGCAUUUAAUUGCUUGCGUAUUGAUUGGGUAUUAAGGAUAAGCAUUGGAGUGCACGUGUGACUUCAUCCCUUUAUUUUGCAGUUUUGAAGUGAUAAAAGUUAUCCAUGGCAAGUUAUUGGAUAUGGUGGGAAAAGUCCAGUAAGUAGUGACACUUUCAUCUCAUUUCACUGCAGGCAUGUUGCUAGUACUUCGUUCAGUAUACUAUAACUAUUCUGAAGUUCUGAACUUUCUUUCACAGAAUACCCAUUAUGCUGGUUGGAAAUAAAAAAGACCUGCAUAUGGAACGGUAUGUGAACUCCACUAUGUGGGAAAUGCAAGGCAGCAGCCGGCAUUCCUGUGGCUGCCAUGGCCGGUUUUGUUCUUGGCUUUCCAUGACUAAAAUCCAAAUGUAGGUUACAACAAAGGUACCAGCAAGGGAUUGGGUCCAGAAUGUGUGCUAGCAGCUUCUGUUGUAAUGUUGAUUCUUGCUAAAAAGCUUCCAAAAAGAAAAAGAGAAGUAGAAUAUUUGUUUGAAGACAAGUAAGGAAGUGUCUUUUUUACCACUCUGAGACAGGAGAUGAUGCUGCAGCGUAGGGAAACAAGUCAGUGUUUGGGACAAUUGCUCCCUUCUGGGUCACAUAGGAGUUCUACGUGGCCCAGCAGUGAAUUUGACAGCAGCAUAUAGCAAUUGUUUGGGACAAGGCCUUUCAAAAUGUUAUAUAUGCCUUAAGUGCUUCAGAACUGUGGGGACAUUCCUGAAGCUUCAGUCCUUCUGUGAGUUACAAAGAAACAUGCUUUCCACUCUUUUGCAGGGUGAUCAGCUAUGAAGAAGGGAAAGCUUUAGCAGAAUCCUGGAAUGCAGCUUUCUUGGAAUCUUCUGCUAAAGAAAAUCAGGUAACAAAUUUAAGAUUCACUUAUUUGAAUAGCAGUGUUAUGGAAUGUCUCAUAGUUUCACUUGAUAAAGGAAGCUAAAUAUCUGCACGUCCUGUACAGAUAGAUUGUGUAGAUGGUUGGAAAUAAAAUGGGUGUCUGCGUUCAGAUAUACAUAUAUAUAUGCUUGUUGAUGCAACUGUAAGUUAAAGGGUGAAAUGGAGAACUGAAAGUUAAGCUUUGCUGAACAAAACAUAACGGUGGCAAACUCAAACUUGCAGCCCUGCUGUGUGUGGGACAGGGUCUGUG
This 11744-nucleotide long non-coding RNA is filed under the name Gallus gallus (chicken). Its description in RNAcentral is "lncRNA (ENSGALG00010027617.1)". The record is from RNAcentral. Lineage: Eukaryota; Metazoa; Chordata; Aves; Galliformes; Phasianidae.